GGCUCGUUGGUCUAGGGGUAUGAUUCCUGCUUGGGGUGCAGGAGGUCCCGGGUUCAAAUCCCGGACGAGCCC
This 72-nucleotide transfer RNA is filed under the name Schistocerca americana (American grasshopper). RNAcentral describes it as "tRNA-Pro". It matches the Rfam family "tRNA". Rfam says of the family: Transfer RNA (tRNA) molecules are approximately 80 nucleotides in length. Their secondary structure includes four short double-helical elements and three loops (D, anti-codon, and T loops). The record is from RNAcentral. Lineage: Eukaryota; Metazoa; Arthropoda; Insecta; Orthoptera; Acrididae. RNAcentral also lists the same sequence under 2 other names.